GAUGAACGCUGACAGAAUGCUUAACACAUGCAAGUCAACUUGAACUUCGGUUUGGGUGGCGGACGGGUGAGUAACGCGUAAAGAACUUGCCUCACAGAUAGGGACAACAUUUGGAAACGAAUGCUAAUACCUGAUAUUAUGAUUUUAGGGCAUCCUAGGAUUAUGAAAGCUAUAUGCGCUGUGAGAGAGCUUUGCGUCCCAUUAGCUAGUUGGAGAGGUAACGGCUCACCAAGGCGAUGAUGGGUAGCCGGCCUGAGAGGGUGAUCGGCCACAAGGGGACUGAGACACGGCCCUUACUCCUACGGGAGGCAGCAGUGGGGAAUAUUGGACAAUGGACCAAGAGUCUGAUCCAGCAAUUCUGUGUGCACGAUGAAGUUUUUCGGAAUGUAAAGUGCUUUCAGUUGGGAAGAAAAAAAUGACGGUACCAACAGAAGAAGUGACGGCUAAAUACGUGCCAGCAGCCGCGGUAAUACGUAUGUCACAAGCGUUAUCCGGAUUUAUUGGGCGUAAAGCGCGUCUAGGUGGUUAUAUAAGUCUGAUGUGAAAAUGCAGGACUCAACUCUGUAUUGCGUUGGAAACUGUGUAACUAGAGUACUGGAGAGGUAAGCGGAACUACAAGUGUAGAGGUGAAAUUCGUAGAUAUUUGUAGGAAUGCCGAUGGGGAAGCCAGCUUACUGGACAGAUACUGACGCUGAAGCGCGAAAGCGUGGGUAGCAAACAGG
RNAcentral lists this ribosomal RNA (722 nucleotides) under uncultured Fusobacterium sp. RNAcentral's name for it is "bacterial SSU rRNA". It matches the Rfam family "Bacterial small subunit ribosomal RNA", at positions 28 to 776 of the family's 1533-position model. The record is from RNAcentral. Lineage: Bacteria; Fusobacteriati; Fusobacteriota; Fusobacteriia; Fusobacteriales; Fusobacteriaceae.